This 494-nucleotide ribosomal RNA is filed under the name uncultured bacterium. Its description in RNAcentral is "partial 16S ribosomal RNA". It matches the Rfam family "Bacterial small subunit ribosomal RNA", at positions 28 to 507 of the family's 1533-position model. The record is from RNAcentral.
GACGAACGCUGGCGGCGUGCUUAACACAUGCAAGUCGAACGGAAAGGCCUGCUUUCCCUUGUGGAUUGCGGGUGCUCGAGUGGCGAACGGGUGAGUAACACGUGAGUGAUCUGCCCCCAACUUGGGUAUAAGCCUGGGAAACUGGGUCUAAUUCCCGAUAGGACUGCAGGGUGGUGCCUGUGGUGGAAAACGAUUUUCUAGUGGUUGGGGAUGAGCUCGCGGCCUAUCAGCUUGUUGGUGGGGUAAUGGCCUACCAAGGCGGCGACGGGUAGCCGGCCUGAGAGGGUGGACGGCCCCAUUGGGACUGAGAUACGGCCCAGACUCCUACGGGAGGCAGCAGUGGGGAAUAUUGCACAAUGGGCGGAAGCCUGAUGCAGCGACGCCGCGUGGGGGAUGACGGCCUUCGGGUUGUAAACUCCUUUCGACCGCGAGGAAGCCACCUGGUUGGAAGGGUGGUGACGGUAGUGGUAGAAGAAGCACCGGCUAACUACGUG